This 436-nucleotide ribosomal RNA is filed under the name uncultured bacterium. Its description in RNAcentral is "partial 16S ribosomal RNA". It matches the Rfam family "Bacterial small subunit ribosomal RNA", at positions 29 to 507 of the family's 1533-position model. The record is from RNAcentral.
AACGAACGCUGGCGGCAUGCCUAACACAUGCAAGUCGAACGAGAUCCUUCGGGGUCUAGUGGCGCACGGGUGCGUAACGCGUGGGAAUCUGCCCUUAGGUUCGGAAUAACAGUUAGAAAUGACUGCUAAUACCGGAUGAUGACGUUAAGUCCAAAGAUUUAUCGCCUGAGGAUGAGCCCGCGUAGGAUUAGCUAGUUGGUGUGGUAAAGGCGCACCAAGGCGACGAUCCUUAGCUGGUCUGAGAGGAUGAUCAGCCACACUGGGACUGAGACACGGCCCAGACUCCUACGGGAGGCAGCAGUGGGGAAUAUUGGACCAUGGGCGCAAGCCUGAUCCAGCAAUGCCGCGUGAGUGAUGAAGGCCUUAGGGUUGUAAAGCUCUUUUACCCGAGAUGAUAAUGACAGUAGCGGGAGAAUAAGCCCCGGCUAACUCCGUG